CGCGUAGGCGGAUGUUACAGUCAGGCGUGAAAUUCCUGGGCUCAACCCGGGGGCUGCGUUUGAUACGUGAUGUCUGGAGUUCGGAAGAGGGUCGUGGAAUUCCCAGUGUAGAGGUGAAAUUCGUAGAUAUUGGGAAGAACACCGGUGGCGAAGGCGGCGACCUGGUCCGAUACUGACGCUGAGGCGCGAAAGCGUGGGGAGCAAACAGGAUUAGAUACCCUGGUAGUCCACGCUGUAAACGAUGUGCGCUGGAUGUUGGGUGACAUAGUCAUUCAGUGUCGUAGCUAACGCGAUAAGCGCACCGCCUGGGGAGUACGGCCGCAAGGUUGAA
This 331-nucleotide ribosomal RNA is filed under the name uncultured bacterium. RNAcentral's name for it is "bacterial SSU rRNA". It matches the Rfam family "Bacterial small subunit ribosomal RNA", at positions 568 to 898 of the family's 1533-position model. The record is from RNAcentral.